RNAcentral lists this ribosomal RNA (305 nucleotides) under uncultured bacterium. Its description in RNAcentral is "bacterial SSU rRNA". It matches the Rfam family "Bacterial small subunit ribosomal RNA", at positions 336 to 658 of the family's 1533-position model. The record is from RNAcentral.
UUCCUACGGGAGGCAGCAGUGGGGAAUAUUGCACAAUGGGGGGAACCCUGAUGCAGCGACGCCGCGUGGGUGAAGGAGUACUUCGGUACGUAAAGCCCUAUCAGCAGGAAAGAAAAUGACGGUACCUGACUAAGAAGCCCCGGCUAACUACGUGCCAGCAGCCGCGGUAAUACGUAGGUGGCAAGCGUUGUCCGGAUUUACUGGGUGUAAAGGGCGUGCAGCCGGAGAGACAAGUCAGAUGUGAAAUCCACGGGCUCAACCCGUGAACUGCAUUUGAAACUGUUUCCCUUGAGUGUCGGAGAGGG